Oryza nivara is the source of this 193-nucleotide non-coding RNA. The record is from Rfam. NCBI's taxonomy places the organism in Eukaryota, Viridiplantae, Streptophyta, Magnoliopsida, Poales, Poaceae.
CUUGUUUUCCGUGUCUAACGUUUGACUGUCCGUCUUAUUUAAAAAAAUUAUUAAAAAAAUUAAAAAGAUAAGUCACGUAUAAAAUAUUAAUCAUGUUUUAUCAUCUAACAAUAAUAAAAAUAUAAAUUAUAAACAAAAUUCAUAUAAGACGGACAGUUAAAGUUGGACACGAAAACCCAUAAUUUACCUUUUU